This 113-nucleotide ribosomal RNA is filed under the name uncultured eukaryote. RNAcentral's name for it is "partial Eukaryotic small subunit ribosomal RNA". It matches the Rfam family "Eukaryotic small subunit ribosomal RNA", at positions 309 to 421 of the family's 1831-position model. The record is from RNAcentral.
CUCCUAUCCGCUUUUGAUGGUAGGAUAGAGGUCUCCCAUGUGGCGUGAACAGGUCACGGAGAAUUCGGGUUCGUUCCGGAGAGGGGCCUGAGUAAUGGCUACCACAUCUAAGA